This 69-nucleotide transfer RNA is filed under the name Triticum urartu. It matches the Rfam family "tRNA". From Rfam's summary of the family: Transfer RNA (tRNA) molecules are approximately 80 nucleotides in length. Their secondary structure includes four short double-helical elements and three loops (D, anti-codon, and T loops). The record is from Rfam by way of RNAcentral. Lineage: Eukaryota; Viridiplantae; Streptophyta; Magnoliopsida; Poales; Poaceae.
UCCAUUGCUUAGUUGGUAAAACACAAAGCUCUUAACCUUGUGGACGUGGGUUCAAGACCUACGAUGGAA